RNAcentral lists this ribosomal RNA (274 nucleotides) under uncultured bacterium. Its description in RNAcentral is "partial 16S ribosomal RNA". It matches the Rfam family "Bacterial small subunit ribosomal RNA", at positions 523 to 796 of the family's 1533-position model. The record is from RNAcentral.
CGACGGAGGGGGCUAGCGUUAUUCGGAAUUACUGGGCGUAAAGGGCGCGUAGGCGGAUUAGUAAGUUGGGAGUGAAAGCCCGGGGCUUAACCUCGGAACUGCUUUCAAAACUGCUAGUCUUGAGUGAAGUAGGGGGUGAUGGAAUUCCUAGUGUAGAGGUGAAAUUCUUAGAUAGUAGGAGGAACACCGGUGGCGAAGGCGGUCACCUGGACUUCAACUGACGCUGAGGCGCGAAAGCGUGGGGAGCAAACAGGAUUAGAUACCCUUGUAGUCC